Molecule: ribosomal RNA, 500 nt
Filed under: uncultured bacterium
Lineage: Bacteria
Description: partial 16S ribosomal RNA
Rfam family: Bacterial small subunit ribosomal RNA
Source: RNAcentral
GACGAACGCUGGCGGCGUGCUUAACACAUGCAAGUCGAACGGGCCUGUCUUCUUUUUUGGGGGGUGGGUUGAGUGGCGAACGGGUGAGUAUCACGUGAGUAACCUGCCCUUCGGUCCUGGAUAACCGCUUGAAAGGGCGGCUAAUACGGGGUGGUCCGGUUGGUCCGCAUGGGCUGGUCGGGAUAGAUUCACUGUUUUUGGGGUUUCGGCGGGGGAUGGGCUCGGGGCCUAUCGGCUUGUUGGUGGGGUGUUGGCGUACCGGGGCGGGGACGGGUAGCCGGCCUGAGGGGGUGGGCGGCCAAACUGGGACUGAGAUACGGCCCAGACUCCUGCGGGAGGCAGCAGUGGGGGGUAUUGCACAAUGGGCGAAAGCAUGAUGCAGCGACGUCGCGUGAGGGAUGGAGGCCUUCGGGUUGUGAACCUCUGUUUCGGGUGGUGAAGGCCCUGUCCGUGUGGUGGGGUUGACGGUAGCCGGGGAUGAAGCGCCGGCUAACUACGUG